AUAAUGGCCGAAAAUCUAAGGUUUCUUGGGGAAGGUUCGUCCGCCCAAGGUAAGCCGGGAGCUAAGGCGAGGCCGCAAGGCGUAGUCGAUGCACAUACGGUAAAGAUUCCGUAGCCGCCGAACUUUAAGUCAGAGGGACACUUGCAGAUAGCGGAACCCAGCCGUUGGUUGAGCUGGGCGAAAGGGACUGAAUUUAGUAGGGAAGUCCGCGAUGCUGAAAGGCGAGAAAAGCUCUGAUGAAUACUAAGGCGCCCGUACCGCAAACCGACACAGGUAGAUGAGGAGAGAAUCCUAAGGCCAACGGGAGAAGGGUUGUUAAGGAACUCGGCAAAUUGACCCCGUAACUUCGGAAGAAGGGGAGCCCCGAAAGGGGCCGCAGUGAAUAGGCCCAAGCAACUGUUUACCAAAAACACAGGUUUAUGCUAAAUCGAAAGAUGACGUAUAUGAGCUGACGCCUGCCCGGUGCCGGAAGGUUAAGAGGAGAGCUUAGAGCAAUCGAAGGUUUGAAUUGAAGCCCCGGUAAACGGCGGCCGUAACUAUAACGGUCCUAAGGUAGCGAAAUUCCUUGUCAGGUAAGUUCUGACCCGCACGAAUGGCGUAAUGAUUUGGGCACUGUCUCAACAGCCCGCCCGGCGAAAUUGUAGUACUGGUGAAGAUGCCAGUUACCCGCAACUAGACGGAAAGACCCCAUGGAGCUUUACUGCAGCUUAAUACUGAAAUUCGGUAGUACAUGUACAGGAUAGGUGGGAGACUGAGAAAUACAGGCGUCAGCUUGUAUGGAGUCGCUGUUGGGAUACCACUCUUGUACUGCUGGGUUUCUAACCUGCGGCCGUGAAUCCGGUCGGGGGACACUGUUAGGCGGGCAGUUUGACUGGGGCGGUCGCCUCCCAAAAGGUAACGGAGGCGCUCAAAGGUUCGUUCAGCACGGACGGAAAUCGUGCAAUGAGUGUAAACGCAUAAACGAGCCUAACUGCGACACCGACGGGUGGAGCAGUAACGAAAGUUGGAGUUAGUGAUCCGGUGGUAUGUGAGUGGAAAUGCCAUCGCUCAACGGAUAAAAGCUACCCUGGGGAUAACAGGCUGAUCUCCCCCAAGCGUCCACAGCGACGGGGAGGUUUGGCACCUCGAUGUCGGCUCGUCGCAUCCUGGGGCUGAAUUCGGUCCCAAGGGUUUGGCUGUUCGCCAAUUAAAGC
This 1193-nucleotide ribosomal RNA is filed under the name human gut metagenome. RNAcentral's name for it is "bacterial LSU rRNA". It matches the Rfam family "Bacterial large subunit ribosomal RNA", at positions 1330 to 2594 of the family's 2925-position model. The record is from RNAcentral.